AGCAGCCGCGGUAAUUCCAGCUCCAAUAGCGUAUAUUAAAGUUGUUGCAGUUAAAAAGACUCGUAGUUGAAUUUCGAGAUCAAAUUGUUGGUCGUGCCUCGGUACGUACUGGCAUUAUUGAUUUCUCCCUUCUGAAGAACCUUGAUGUCAUUAAUUUGGUGUCUUGGGGAAUCAGGACCGUUACUUUGAAAAAUUAGAGUGUUUAAAGCAGGCUCACGCUUGAAUACAUUAGCAUGGAAUAAUGAAAUAGGACGUUUGAUUCUAUUUUGUUGGUUUCUAGGAUCGACGUAAUGAUUAAUAGGGAUAGUUGGGGGCAUUAGUAUUCAAUUGUCAGAGGUGAAAUUCUUGGAUUUAUUGAAGACUAACUACUGCGAAAGCAUUUGCCAAGGAUGUUUUCAUUAAUCAAGAACGAAAGUCAGGGGAUCGAAGACGAUCAGAUACCGUCGUAGU
Molecule: ribosomal RNA, 450 nt
Filed under: uncultured Glomus
Lineage: Eukaryota; Fungi; Glomeromycota; Glomeromycetes; Glomerales; Glomeraceae
Description: SSU rRNA
Rfam family: Eukaryotic small subunit ribosomal RNA
Source: RNAcentral